RNAcentral lists this ribosomal RNA (641 nucleotides) under Malassezia restricta. RNAcentral describes it as "eukaryotic LSU rRNA". It matches the Rfam family "Eukaryotic large subunit ribosomal RNA", at positions 39 to 667 of the family's 3401-position model. Lineage: Eukaryota; Fungi; Basidiomycota; Malasseziomycetes; Malasseziales; Malasseziaceae. The record is from RNAcentral.
CAUAUCAAUAAGCGGAGGAAAAGAAACUAACAAGGAUUCCCCUAGUAACGGCGAGCGAAGCGGGAAGAGCUCAAAUUUGAAAGCUGGCGUCUUCGGCGUCCGCGUUGUAACCUCGAGACGUGUUUUCCGUGCGGCUCUAUGGACAAGUCCCUUGGAACAGGGCAUCGUAGAGGGUGAAAAUCCCGUACUUGCCAUGGAAGUACCGUGCUUUGUGAUACACGCUCCAAGAGUCGAGUAGUUUGGGAUUGCUGCUCAAAGUGGGUGGUAGACUCCAUCUAAAGCUAAAUAUCGGGGAGAGACCGAUAGCGAACAAGUACCGUGAGGGAAAGAUGAAAAGCACUUUGGAAAGAGAGUUAAAAGUACGUGAAAUUGUCGAAAGGGAAGCACUUGAAGUCAGCCAUGCUGCUUGAGACUCAGCCUGGCUUUUGCUUGGUGUAUUUCUCGGUAGCAAGCCAGCAUUGGUUUGUGUCGUCGGAGAAGCGCAUGGGGAAUGUGGCAUCCUCGGAUGUGUUAUAGCCCUGUGCAGGAUACGACGACGUAGACCAAGGAACGCAGUGUGCCCUCUGGGCGGGUCUUCGGACACCUUCACACUUAGGAUGCUGGCGUAAUGGCUUUAAGUGGCCCGUCUUGAAACACGGACC